GUGCUCGCUUCGGCAGCACAUAUACUGAAAUUGGAAAGAUAUAGAGAAGAUUAGCGUGGCCCCUGCACAAGGAAGACAUGCAAAGUUGUGAAGCAUUCCAUAUUUUU
Molecule: small nuclear RNA, 107 nt
Filed under: Catagonus wagneri (Chacoan peccary)
Lineage: Eukaryota; Metazoa; Chordata; Mammalia; Artiodactyla; Tayassuidae
Source: RNAcentral